GAAUCUUGGGCAAUGGGCGCAAGCCUGACCCAGCCAUGCCGCGUGUGUGAAGAAGGCCUUCGGGUUGUAAAGCACUUUCAGUAGCGAAGAAAAGCCGGGGGCUAAUACCGCCCGGUCCUGACGUUAACUACCGAAGAAGUACCGGCCAACUCCGUGCCCGCAGCCGCGGUCAUACGGAGGGUACGAACGUUAAUCGGAUUUACUGGGCGUAAAGCGCGCGUAGGCGGUCUGUUAAGUGGGGUGUGAAAUCCCCGGGCUCAACCCGGGAACUGCGCUCCAAACUGACGGGCUAGAGUAUGGUAGAGGGAGGUAGAAUUUCCUGUGUAGCGGUGAAAUGCGUAGAUAUAGGAAGGAAUACCGAUGGCGAAGGCAGCCUCCUGGACCAAUACUGACGCUGAGGUGCGAAAGCGUGGGGAGCAAACAGG
Molecule: ribosomal RNA, 425 nt
Filed under: uncultured bacterium
Lineage: Bacteria
Description: bacterial SSU rRNA
Rfam family: Bacterial small subunit ribosomal RNA
Source: RNAcentral